AGCCCCAUAGUCCAAUGGUCAAGAGACAGUAGGUUUAAGCCCUAUCCAGUGAGGGUUCGACUCCCUCUGGGGUUA
This 75-nucleotide transfer RNA is filed under the name Crassvirales sp. Its description in RNAcentral is "tRNA-Leu". It matches the Rfam family "tRNA". Rfam says of the family: Transfer RNA (tRNA) molecules are approximately 80 nucleotides in length. Lineage: Duplodnaviria; Heunggongvirae; Uroviricota; Caudoviricetes; Crassvirales. The record is from RNAcentral.